This is a long non-coding RNA of Mauremys reevesii (Reeves's turtle), 2136 nucleotides long. RefSeq lists it as uncharacterized. NCBI's taxonomy places the organism in Eukaryota, Metazoa, Chordata, Testudines, Geoemydidae. The transcript has 3 exons. The record is from RefSeq and is a predicted model, not a curated record.
UGAGGGGUUUGGGGUGUGAUGGACUGAAAUGUCGACCAGUCUAGACCAGCAUAGGCUGCCAAUGGACUGGCGUGACAACCUGGCUUUCAAGGAAAUAAAGGACUGCCUGAAAAGUAUGAGGGUGAAAGGCAAAUUAUCUGCUUCCCAUUUGGCCCCAGUUUUAAAUUGAUCAAGGACGUGCUUUUAUAAAACCUUAUGGCAACACAAACAGGCUUCCACAGUUUGUACUUUAACACAGUUGCUUAAAAGCCACAUUGCCACAAAAUUCCAGUAGAAAUAUGUUUUGAAGCAAACAAAUAGUGCCCACGUGGGGGGGUGUAAAAGUUGUAGGCUGCAGCAAGCAGGACCUGAAAGUGAAACUGACCAUAAGCAAAACAGGAUUCACUUUUAUUGUUAUGCACAUUGUGGGGACACCCACAGUAAGUUAGGCGCUUUCCAAACACAGAGGAAGACAGUCCCAGCCACAAAGAGCUUACAGUGUGAAAACGACAAACUAUAAAGGAAAGGGAUGUAGUACACAAGCAGAAUGAUGAAUUGUGUGUUUCGCUGUAGCUUAUUUUUAGAUUUCCCUCUGAUCAUCCUCUCACAGGUUAGCCCUCUCUGCUUUCCCCACAGCAUUUCCCACCUUCAUAUCUAGUGGUCUUUUAUGCCCCUCUGUACUUGUUACCUCCCUCAUAAAGAUGACCCUAUUCAAUCAUGUAAUAAGUAAGUAGAUGGCUUAGGCCCAGAUCCUAUAGACUUUUAAACUUUGCAGGCUUAGAGACUUAAUAAACUGAAAAUUAUACCGAGCUAACUCUAUGAAUUAGCGUUGUGAUUGUUUUAAGUAGUUAUACCAGUACAAACCUAUUGUGGACACAGUCGUAUCAAUAUAAAGAUGUAGCUUAUUGGUUUUCCUGUGUGGAAAUGUGAUAUUGGUAUAAGCACUUUUAUACCAUCAUAACUGUCAUAAGAGGAGAGUUGUACUGCUUUAACUAUACCAGUGUAGUUCAAGCAGUUUAGACAAAUCCUAAAAUAGUUUCCUGUGAGUGUGUGGCAGAAUUUUAUCUGCAGGAGGGAUUUAAGAAAGGAGAAGGAAGUGGUUUUGUGGGCUGAUCCCAAAAGGGUGGUUUUUCUUGAAACUUUAUUUCGUGUUUGUGGGAAUUUUGAAAGCAUGCUCAUGCCAUUGUUUUUAUUUCUAAAUUAACCAGCUUUUCAGUUUCUGCAGGUUUUUAAAAAUAAUUUUUCCCUGUUCAAAAAUCAACAGCUUUCAAAAAAUGAAAUUAUCAAAUUUCUAAUUUUUUUUAAUGUGUAUAUAAAAUAGAUCCGAUUUUUGCAUUAUAGACCCCUCUUCUUUUUUCAGUUGGUCAUAAGUUGCUGGGACGGAGAGGGAGAAUGUUUGGGGCUGAAACUUUCCAGGUUUAGGCUUAGCUCUAAAGCCUUACAACAACUGUGGUUUCUGAAAGCCUCUAAGCAAAAGUCAUCCUCAACCUCAAGCCUCUCAAGCACUGAACCAGUCCGUCCUAGUGAUGGCUGCUUGGGGAAGGUACAGCAGCCAGAAGAAUAAACCACUGGAGCAGCAGCUCAGCUGAGAGAAGUGCUGUUCCUUUAAGGACUGGAAAGAAAACAAAGCGCUCACGUAGGCUGCAGCUCAGCAGCAGGAUGAGGUCACCUCUGCGCAUGUAAUGUAGCAUGCAAGCAAAUUAACUGCUCAGGCACAGCAAACAACAAGCCAGGCUGCAGGGAGACCAGUUUGAUUUGCAGACAGAUUUCAGCUUUAAGCUUCCACGUUAUUAAUGGCUCAUCUAAGUGAAAGGGAUUCAUAUUAGAAGAUUAUUUUUAAUACUUUGCAAUGCUAUUCCCCUCAUCCAGAGAUCCCAAAGUGAUUUAGAAAUUUAAGUAACCGAAUGUGAUAGCAGCCAUCCUCGACGUAGGUAUUGCAAUCCCCACUUUUACAGAGGCACAGAGAGGAUUAGAUUUAAAGUUUACAAGAAGCCUGCAGCAAAGCCACCUGUGGAAAGAACCCAGAUUUCCUGCCUUCAAGUCCUGUGGUUUAACCACAAGAUUAUAGUUCUUCUUAAGCAUUGACAGUGCUGCCCCUUUAACAAAUCACUGUCCGCAUUAAUUUCAUAUAACCACUAAUCUUAAAUGACACACAAA